This 253-nucleotide ribosomal RNA is filed under the name uncultured bacterium. RNAcentral describes it as "partial 16S ribosomal RNA". It matches the Rfam family "Bacterial small subunit ribosomal RNA", at positions 524 to 776 of the family's 1533-position model. The record is from RNAcentral.
UACGGGGGGGGCAAGCGUUGUUCGGAAUUACUGGGCGUAAAGGGUUCGUAGGUGGCCUGCUAAGUCAGACGUGAAAUCCCUCAGCUUAACUGGGGAACUGCGUCUGAGACUGGUGGGCUUGAGUGCAGGAGAGGAACGCGGAAUUCCAGGUGUAGCGGUGAAAUGCGUAGAUAUCAAGUAGAACACCAGUGGCGAAGGCGAGUCCCUGGAAAACACCUGACACUGAGGCACGAAAGCUAGGGGAGCAAACAGG